This 253-nucleotide ribosomal RNA is filed under the name uncultured bacterium. RNAcentral describes it as "partial 16S ribosomal RNA". It matches the Rfam family "Bacterial small subunit ribosomal RNA", at positions 524 to 776 of the family's 1533-position model. The record is from RNAcentral.
UACGUAGGGCGCGAGCGUUGUCCGGAUUUAUUGGGCGUAAAGAGCUCGUAGGCGGCUUGUUGCGUCGACCGUGAAAACCCGGGGCUCAACUUCGGGCUUGCGGUCGAUACGGGCAGGCUAGAGUUCGGUAGGGGAGACUGGAAUUCCUGGUGUAGCGGUGAAAUGCGCAGAUAUCAGGAGGAACACCGGUGGCGAAGGCGGGUCUCUGGGCCGAUACUGACGCUGAGGAGCGAAAGCGUGGGGAGCGAACAGG